GGGGAUAUAGCUCAGUUGGUAGAGUGCCUUGUAUGCACAGGCCCUGGGUUCAAUCCCCAGUACCUCAA
RNAcentral lists this transfer RNA (68 nucleotides) under Ictidomys tridecemlineatus (thirteen-lined ground squirrel). Its description in RNAcentral is "Spermophilus tridecemlineatus (thirteen-lined ground squirrel) tRNA". It matches the Rfam family "tRNA". Rfam says of the family: Transfer RNA (tRNA) molecules are approximately 80 nucleotides in length. Their secondary structure includes four short double-helical elements and three loops (D, anti-codon, and T loops). Further hydrogen bonds mediate the characteristic L-shaped molecular structure. tRNAs have two regions of fundamental functional importance: the anti-codon, which is responsible for specific mRNA codon recognition, and the 3' end, to which the tRNAs corresponding amino acid is attached (by aminoacyl-tRNA synthetases). tRNAs cope with the degeneracy of the genetic code in two manners: having more than one tRNA (with a specific anti-codon) for a particular amino acid; and 'wobble' base-pairing, i.e. permitting non-standard base-pairing at the 3rd anti-codon position. Lineage: Eukaryota; Metazoa; Chordata; Mammalia; Rodentia; Sciuridae. The record is from Rfam by way of RNAcentral.